Long non-coding RNA from Catharus ustulatus (Swainson's thrush), 476 nucleotides. RefSeq lists it as uncharacterized. The transcript has 2 exons. NCBI's taxonomy places the organism in Eukaryota, Metazoa, Chordata, Aves, Passeriformes, Turdidae. The record is from RefSeq and is a predicted model, not a curated record.
UAUUGUAGACCUGUGGGAUAUAAUUAUAAUAUUGCUGCCAAUAAUUAUCACUACCAAAGACCCUACUUGAUUUCUCAGUAUUAGAUGAGGUCCAACAGGGAAAGUGAAUGUAUUGAACUGGGAAAUAAGAAAAUAGAAGGAAGAAGAAAAAAUAGGAUCCCAUCACAUGGCUCCCCUGGAUGUUUCCAAAACAGCAGGAAUACGACUUGGCUGCAGAUUGUGCAUCCCAACCUCAAACUGAGCGAGCUGAGAAACUGAAAAAAGAGAAGAAUGAAGAAAAAUCUGAGGAGGAUGCUCAAGGACUCACCUUCCAUCAUAUUCCCUCCAGGGGGCUGCUGGGCUGAUGCAUUUUUGGGAUGGAGCACCACAGUGGCUCUGUUGGAAAGCCCAGUCACAAUUCAGCAUCCAGAGAAAAAAGUCCUUUAGAGAACUGUGGGAAGUUUAAUGGAAAUAAUAAAUUUGGGGUUCUUCCUUAA